RNAcentral lists this ribosomal RNA (689 nucleotides) under uncultured Basidiomycota. Its description in RNAcentral is "eukaryotic LSU rRNA". The stretch from base 281 to 434 matches the Rfam family "5.8S ribosomal RNA". The record is from RNAcentral. Lineage: Eukaryota; Fungi; Basidiomycota.
CAUUAUUGAAUAAGUUGACAAGGUUGUAGCUGGCUCCAUAGGAGCAUGUGCACGCCUUUCAUACUCAUCUCAACCACCUGUGCACCCUUUGUAGACCUGGAGAAAAAGUCUUUCGAGGCAACUUGGAAGAACUGUUGGAGGGUCUGCUGGCUUUUUAUCAAAGUCGGCUUCCCUUGCUUUUUUUGUUCAGCGUCUAUGUUUUUCAUUACACCCAAUAGAAUGUUAUAGAAUGUCAUUUGAUGGGCCUGUUAUAAAACAACGGCGUCCUUUAAAACUAUACAACUUUCAACAACGGAUCUCUUGGCUCUCGCAUCGAUGAAGAACGCAGCGAAAUGCGAUAAGUAAUGUGAAUUGCAGAAUUCAGUGAAUCAUCGAAUCUUUGAACGCACCUUGCGCUCCUUGGUAUUCCGAGGAGCAUGCCUGUUUGAGUGUCAUUAAAUUCUCAACCUCUUCAGUUUUUGUUAGUUGAAGGUGGAUUGGACUUUGGGGGCUUGCGGGCUUUUUCUUUAUGAAAGUCGGCUCCUCUUAAAUGCAUUAGCGAAAACCUUUGUGGACCGUCUUUUGGUGUGAUAAUUAUCUACGCCAUUGCCGCGAAGCAGUUCAUUUUACAAUGGGGUUUCAGCUUCAAACCGUCCCAGAUGGGACUACACUUCAUUGACAUUUUGACCUCAAAUCAGGUAGGACUACCC